Quercus lobata is the source of this 353-nucleotide long non-coding RNA. RefSeq lists it as uncharacterized. Lineage: Eukaryota; Viridiplantae; Streptophyta; Magnoliopsida; Fagales; Fagaceae. The transcript has 3 exons. The record is from RefSeq and is a predicted model, not a curated record.
CUCAUUGGCCGAACUCCUCUUGUAUAUCUUAACAAAGUCACUGAAGGCUGUGGAGCUUAUAUUGCUGUCAAGCAAGAAAUGAUGCAACCUACUGCUAGCAUCAAAGACAUAGCAGCACAUGCCAUGAUUGUGGAUGCUGAAAAGAAAAACUUAAUUACCCUGGGAAGACAACUCUGAUAGAGCCCACAUCAGGAAAUAUGGAGAUCAGUAUGGCAUUUAUCUCAGCCCUUAAAGGAUACAAAACGGUUCUAACCAUGCCCUCUUACACAAGCUUGGAGAGGAGGGUAACUAUGAGAGCAUUUGAAGCUGAUUUAAUUCUCACUGAUCCCACCAGGGGGAUGGGGGGAACAGUU